This 921-nucleotide ribosomal RNA is filed under the name uncultured organism. Its description in RNAcentral is "bacterial SSU rRNA". It matches the Rfam family "Bacterial small subunit ribosomal RNA", at positions 36 to 963 of the family's 1533-position model. The record is from RNAcentral.
CUAGCGGCGCGCUUAACGCAUGCAAGUCGAGCGAUGAGGCUCCCCUUCGGAGAGUACAUCAGCGGCAGACGGGUGAGUAACACGUAGAUAACCUGCCCUCAAGACGGGGACAACCGGUGGAAACAGCGGCUAAUACCCGAUAUGCUCACAGGAUCGGGAGAUCGAGUGAGGAAAGCGCCCCUUCGGGGGAGAGUGUUUGAGGAGGGAUCUGCGGCCCAUCAGCUAGUUGGUGAGGUAACGGCUCACCAAGGCGAAGACGGGUAGGGGGUGUGAGAGCAUGGCCCCCCACAAUGGGACUGAGACACGGCCCAUACUCCUACGGGAGGCAGCAGCGGGGAAUAUUGCGCAAUGGACGGAAGUCAGACGCAGCGACGCCGCGUGGGUGAGGAAGGCCUUCGGGUUGUAAAGCCCUUUUCAGGGGAGCGAGAAAGGACGGUACCCUUGGAAUAAGCGUCGGCUAACUACGUGCCAGCAGCCGCGGUAAGACGUAGGACGCAAGCGUUAUCCGGAUUUACUGGGCGUAAAGCGCCUGUAGGCGGUCAAGUAAGUCGGAUGUGAAAGCCCCGUGCUCAACGCGGGGAAGCCAUUCGAUACUGCGUGACUAGAGAACGGCAGAGGGAAACGGAAUUUCUGGUGUAGCGGUAAAAUGCGCAGAGAUCAGAAAGAACACCGAUGGCGAAGGCAGUUUCCUAGGCCGCAUCUGACGCUGAGAGGCGAAAGCUAGGGGAGCAAACAGGAUUAGAGACCCUGGUAGUCCUAGCUGUAAACGAUGGAUGCUAGGUGUGGGCCGGAAAGGUCCGCGCCGUAGUUAACGCGAUAAGCAUCCCGCCUGGGGAGUACGGCCGCAAGGCUAAAAACUCAAACGAAUUGACGGGGACCCGCACAAGCAGCGGAGCGUGUGGGUUAAUUCGAUGCUACACG